UAUGGAAGGCAGCAGUGGGGAAUAUUGCACAAUGGGCGCAAGCCUGAUGCAGCCAUGCCGCGUGUAUGAAGAAGGCCUUCGGGUUGUAAAGUACUUUCAGUCGUGAGGAAGGUGUUAAGGUUAAUAACCUUAGCAAUUGACGUUAGCGACAGAAGAAGCACCGGCUAACUCCGUGCCAGCAGCCGCGGUAAUACGGAGGGUGCGAGCGUUAAUCGGAAUUACUGGGCGUAAAGGGCACGCAGGCGGUUAAUUAAGUUGGAUGUGAAAUCCCCGGGCUUAACCUGGGAAUGGCAUUCAAGACUGGUUAGCUAGAGUCUUGUAGAGGGGGUAGAAUUCCAUGUGUAGCGGUGAAAUGCGUAGAGAUGUGGAGGAAUACCGGUGGCGAAGGCGGCCCCUGGGACAAAGACUGACGCUCAUGUGCGAAAGCGUGGGGAGCAAACAGGAUUAGAUACC
RNAcentral lists this ribosomal RNA (453 nucleotides) under uncultured bacterium. Its description in RNAcentral is "bacterial SSU rRNA". It matches the Rfam family "Bacterial small subunit ribosomal RNA", at positions 340 to 786 of the family's 1533-position model. The record is from RNAcentral.